AUGUCCCUGGACGGCCGCAUCGACCUUGUUAAAACAGUGUUGUCUGCUAUGCCCAUAUUCCAGAUGAUAGCCCUGCAUAUGCCGGCUUGAUUGAUCAAGAUGAUCGAUAAGGUGUGCCGCGGGUUCCUUUGGGGAGGGCAGGAGAUUUCCUCGGGCGGCAAAUGCCUCGCCAAUUGGAAGCUGGUUUGCCGGCCGACUGAAUUCGGUGGCCUCGGUGUCCUCGACCUGGCCAAGCACAGCGUUGCUUUGCGUGUCCGAUGGCUAUGGCAAGCUUGGACGGACCCUAACAAGCCAUGGCUCGGACUCGAGCUUCCGGUCGACCCGACGGUUAGAGCCCUCUUCAAUGCCUCCGUCAAAUUUCAUCUCGGAGAUGGGGCACGGCUAUCCUUCUGGAGGGAUCCCUGGCACAAUGGAGUCUGUCUCCAACUGCGCUUCCCUCACCUCUUUCGACAGUGA
Molecule: ribosomal RNA, 456 nt
Filed under: Triticum aestivum (bread wheat)
Lineage: Eukaryota; Viridiplantae; Streptophyta; Magnoliopsida; Poales; Poaceae
Description: partial small subunit ribosomal RNA
Source: RNAcentral